Molecule: ribosomal RNA, 341 nt
Filed under: uncultured bacterium
Lineage: Bacteria
Description: bacterial SSU rRNA
Rfam family: Bacterial small subunit ribosomal RNA
Source: RNAcentral
AUUGAACGCUGGCGGCAUGCUUUGCACAUGCAAGUCGAACGGUAACGCGGGGGCGAACCCUGGCGACGAGUGGCGAACGGGUGAGUAAUACAUCGGAACAUGUCCUGGAGUGGGGGAGUAGCUCGGCGAAAGACCGGAUUAAUACCGCAUACGCUCUGAGGAGGAAAGCGGGGGACCGUGGUAACGGGCCGUCGCGCUGCGGGAGUGGCCGAUGUCGGAUUAGCUAGUUGGUGGAGGUAAAGGACUCACCAAGGCGACGAUCCGUAGCUGGUCUGAGAGGAUGAUCAGCCACACUGGGACUGAGACACGGCCCAGACUCCUACGGGAGGCAGCAGUGGGAA